CCCUUAGAUGUUCUGGGCCGCACGCGCGCUACACUGGUGCGUUCAGCGAGUUUAGCACCUUAACAGAUAUGUUUGGGUAAUCUUCUGAAAACGCACCGUGAUGGGGAUCGAUUAUUGUAAUUAUUAAUCGUCAACGAGGAAUUCCUAGUAAGUGUGAAUCAUCAGUUCGCGCUGAUUACGUCCCUGCCCUUUGUACACACCGCCCGUCGCUGCUACCGAUUGAGUGGUCCGGUGAAUUAUUCGGACCGGUGGACUGUGGGGAAACCCGCGGCCUGCUGGGAAGUCUUGUGAACCUUAUCACUUAGAGGAAGCAGAAGUCGUAACA
This 325-nucleotide ribosomal RNA is filed under the name uncultured eukaryote. RNAcentral describes it as "partial 18S ribosomal RNA". It matches the Rfam family "Eukaryotic small subunit ribosomal RNA", at positions 1470 to 1796 of the family's 1831-position model. The record is from RNAcentral.